CCUACGGGAGGCUGCAGUGGGGAAUAUUGGACAAUGGGGGGAACCCUGAUCCAGCCAUGCCGCGUGUGUGAAGAAGGCCCUCGGGUUGUAAAGCACUUUCAGUGAGGAAGAACGCCUGGUGGUUAAUACCCAUCAGGAAAGACAUCACUCACAGAAGAAGCACCGGCUAACUCCGUGCCAGCAGCCGCGGUAAUACGGAGGGUGCGAGCGUUAAUCGGAAUUACUGGGCGUAAAGCGCGCGUAGGUGGCUUGAUAAGCCGGUUGUGAAAGCCCCGGGCUCAACCUGGGAACGGCAUCCGGAACUGUCAAGCUAGAGUGCAGGAGAGGAAGGUAGAAUUCCCGGUGUAGCGGUGAAAUGCGUAGAGAUCGGGAAGAAUACCAGUGGCGAAGGCGGCCUUCUGGACUGACACUGACACUGAGGUGCGAAAGCGUGGGUAGCAAACAGGAUUAGAUACCCUUGUAGUC
RNAcentral lists this ribosomal RNA (465 nucleotides) under Vreelandella stevensii. RNAcentral describes it as "partial 16S ribosomal RNA". It matches the Rfam family "Bacterial small subunit ribosomal RNA", at positions 338 to 795 of the family's 1533-position model. The record is from RNAcentral. Lineage: Bacteria; Pseudomonadati; Pseudomonadota; Gammaproteobacteria; Oceanospirillales; Halomonadaceae.